UUGGCAUCCUUGGUGAUAUUUAGCGCCCUCUGAUUAUUCCGCACAUUUGAUGGUGCUACAUAGCCUUCCCGGUUUGGUGCCUUCUUUUGAUAAUUACUUACUUACUAGCUGAUUUAAAUAUGAUGCAAGAGGAGGCAGUUUUUUUAAAUUUACAUAUUUACUAAAAAAAGGAAUACAGUACCUACAUGUACUAUAUUGUCGUGUGUGCAUUACAACAUGGUACAAAGUGUAGGAACACAAGGUUUUCAAAAGUCAUUUGUAGUCAGCAAUGCAUGAGAAAAUUCCUUUAUUUCUAGGCUGGUGCAGCAUAUUUGGCGUUCUUGAGGUACAGGCAGGGAUCAGAUCAAGCAUUUGCCCCAAGUUAUGAGGCUGAUCCCACCAAUAUGGGUGGAUAUAACAGCUAUCCAGAUGCCACAGAUCCUGAUGGAGGCUAUUCUCAGCCUCCAUUUGCUGGCCAGCCACCCCAACCUCAGUCAGGUAUGCAGCAGGCACCACCCUAUUAGACUGCAAGUGGGUGUCUUAAGGCUCAGCUAGUUGGUCAACUUCACUAGUCAGCACUGCUCAGCUGGAUAGCACCAACACUCCUGCCGCCAGUAGCCACCAAGUAUUGCCCUGAUAUUUGCCAGCUUUCCCUGGGGGCUGGGCCAUUCAGGAAGUGUCACUAGUCAGGGGAGGACACAGUCCCUGUGCAGUGUUAAGCUGAGAUUGUAGGAUAAAUAGGAACAAUAUUACCAAAGGUGAGGCUUAGGUAAGAGAAGAAGUUUUGUUAACUUGAGAACUCGCCUUGCUCAUCUUUAGCGCAAUUUUUAGAGAAAGGUCUCUUAUUAAUAUGGGAAAACUUGUGAAGGUAAACUCUUGUUCUGUUAGAAGUGUUGUUGGUCGAGUAGUAUGUUGACUUUCUAAGUAAUUUUUGUUAAUUUUAGCCUUAACAAUUAUUUAAUUUCGACACUUGGGAUGGGUACAUUUAAUGAGCAUUGUAGCAGCCCUAGAGGUGUGCAUCUAUUUAAUGCAAAGAGGAGGCUUUACAAAAGUGUGUGUUUACUUGAUCAUCAAACAAAAAAGUUGCAUACAGUUGUGGUAGUGUGUGUAGCAGUGUUAACUCCUUAGUACAUAUUCCUAUCAGCACUACUAUGGUACAUUAGUACAGUAUACUGUACUUAGGUUAUUCUCUGCUUUCUUGACCAACUCACUUAUCACUAACAUCAGUAUACUGUGCUUUGGUUAUUCACUGCUUUCUUGCUGAAUUAAAUUAUCAUCAAAUUUGGUUCCUUAUAUUGUCUUUCAUGUAACUUAAGUUGGGAAUUCAAAUUCCUUUAUAAAUAUUUGAUUUCAACUUUGUUUUGAGCAUCACUGAACCCUCAAAUUCUAACACAAGGCAGAGAGAGAGAGAAUGCAGGUGAUUAUACAGGAGGAAGGUAGGUUACAAAAACAUUAAACACGAAUGUCCCUACAAAGGCAGACAAACCUUCAGAGAAAUUGCAGAAAUAGAGCUCACUCAUUCUAGAAUUAGAAUUACAAAAAAAAAAACAGCCAUCAAAGAGAGUCACAAAAUAGUAAAAUACGUGUGCAAAGAACAAAUCAAAAGCCUCUGGGAGUAGAGGCCCCAUAAUUACAAGAUGAGAUACUGUACACUGAGGACAAUAAGUGAGCAAAAUACUGAAGGAACAAUAUGAAUGUUUAUCAUAGCAAUGGCCUAAAGGAAAGUGGAAGAUUAUAACUACAUAAACUCUGCCAAUGCAAAAAGAUGGAUGUUAGAUAUCACAAUAAACCCCACAGCCUUCAAAAAAAAAAAAAAAUGACAACAUACAUGACUCCUGGGCUAGAUUCCUGGAAUUUUUGUUAUAAAGUGCAAAGUACCAUUAGCAAGGGCAGUGUAAAACCCGGAGGAAAUGUCUAAAGGUACGCGACAGGUGUAGACUUAAAAUCUGCUGCAGUUUUUGUUCCACCUAAAAUGGGAAGUAGUUAAAAAUUGGCAAAAAAAAAUAUAAUAAAAACUUAAGUGGAAAAGAAUGAGUUAUGCAAUCUUGGUAAACAAGACUUUUGGCAGGAAGAUCUUUGUAUUUUGCAACGAUUUGAUUGCCGACAAAAUUAUCAGGAUUACAAUAUACACAAACCAAAAUAUAUAUACAGUACUGUCUUGUAUACACAGAUUUUGCAGAUUUUAAAUUUCCAAACGAACAAUUAUAAAAUGGCAGUUAACCAAACGAAAGUCGGCUCGAGUAUGGUGUGACACUAAAUUCCAGUGUACAGUUAUCGUAUUGUUGCUCUUCCUCAGAUGAUAGGAAUACAAGCCACAGUCUUGUCAUCCUUUGCUAACAAUACCAAAAUUAGAAUGAACAUUAUCUUGGGAAAGAUGCAGAAAAAUUACAAUUUGGUAUUAACAAGGUCUUCCAAUGGGCAACAGAAAAUAAUUACUUUCAACUGUGAUAAAUUCCAAUUACACUUCAGUACUUAAAAGGUGUAAAAGAUACAAGACACCAUUAUCUUUGUAGAAACAAGUUUGGUGAGAUUGCAGAUCUGGAAAGUGUUCAUGCAUUAUAUCGAUGAAGCAUUUAAACUACUGGAAUGAACUCGAAGCACUCAAACUAUACUCCUUUGAAUGAAGGUGGGCGGUAUAUCUAGUAAUAUACAUGCAGAAAAAACUGGGAGGUUAAGCUCCAAACCUACAUAAUAAAAUUAUAAUGUGCUUGAGAGAUUUGGUAGGACGUAUAAAAUGACCAGUGAAAAGUUGGAGUUCCAUAAGCAUAAUUAGAGAAUAGAAUAGAAACAUAGGAGAUGUAUGACUCUUUGGUGUCUUGUCAAAACAAAUAUAAGAAAUGCCACUGGAACAGUGGAAGCUAUCAAGAGAGAACUAGACAAGUUUCUGCUGGAGUUGCCAGAUCAGCCUGGCUCUGAUUGCUAUAUGGUCUUUUAGGCUAUGAAGACAAAUGGCCUCACAUUCCAGUUCAUCACCAGGGAAGUGUGACCACAGGCCAGGCUGAGGGAGUAGAAGAAAUCUUGAAAUUGUGAACUGGUAAUUAAGAGAAUUGUAAUAUUUUAUUUUUUUUAUAACUUUUGAAAAAGUAGUUUUAUUUAAUCAAUGAUGAUAAUGUAAAGUAAUUGUCACACUAUCAGAAGAUCGGCAUUAUUAAAUAAUGAUCUUUUAAAAAUAAAUUCGUAAAUUGCAUUUUAAUCGUGGAGAGUAUUGUGGUCAGUACAGGUAUAUGAAUAAAAUAAACUUCGUGUAUGUUUAGGUGGGUAAUGUUAUGUUUGUUACACACGUCAUGAAUCUCUUUAUCUUUUUCCCUUACUCAUGUGCCAAUAACCUGCAAUAAUAAACUAAAGUCUUCAAUACAUAAGGAGUGAAACACGAUUUCGAUUCAAAUAAUUACUGUACGGGCAUUUUAAAAUUAAGUCCUGUGUACUCUAUAAUGGAAGUGUGCGCUGUUUUAAAUAGCCAUGGAUAUUGUAUAGUUUGGGUUGCCGUCAUUAUUUACGUGUUUGAAUAUCAAGGCAAGUUGUUUUGAUUAUGCACAAUGAUUUAUGUUUUUCUUUUAGAGAAUUAUGAUAUUCAUAAUCUACUUACACAUAGUAUUUAAUUUUAUGACAUGUUUGUUUAAAAUUUUACAUACAGAUCUAGCCAGCAACAUGACCUUUUUAUCUUUAUAUUUUUGUAAGAAAUGAGUAUACAGUUUCAAGAUAAAGCCAAGAUUUUCCUACUUGGACUGUGUCAAUUGGUUAACCCUUAAGUGUCUUGACAUCAUAGAAAAUUAAUGAUUUGUUUAUAAUUCUCAUGUUUGUUUAGUGUGUGUAAAAUAUGGUUUUUACAUUGGGUUCUUUAAUUGUUGAAAAAAUAGAGGUUUGGCAAUAAAAUAUUCAAAUAUUCCUGUGGUAUCAAAUUUAUUUACACGAUAUAAGUCUACAGUUGUCACCUUAUUAAAAGUGACAAAAAGAUUGUACUUUCAGAUUAUCUGAAUUUUAAUAUUUUAUACAGUAUUUGUAAUCUUGAGAAAAUAAUCCUAAAAUUGUAAUAAUAGGGGAAACGAGGGACAAUUUUAUGUCGACAUUUAAAUUGAAGUAUUUAUUGUGUUGUAUUUUUGCUUUUCUCUACAAAGUUUUUGGCAAAUGUCAAAAGCCUCUUUAUCCAGUCGAAUUAUUCAAACAUUGGUGCAACGUGGGAAAAAUUAAUAUUGAACGUGGUCGUAUGGCAAUCCUACAGCGUUAGGUACAUUAUUGAUUGUUCUUAAUUAUGUGAAGUGAAGGCAGUGUUAAUUCCUUAACUUUCAUGAUGGAAUUUAACUUUAUAUUUUGAAGUAUAUAUUAUGUAUAUAGAAUGGUAAAGCAGAUUAAUAUUAUUAAUGUAUUUUCCUUAAAGCAGAAAUGUAAAAAUGUGGAUAUAUUUAUGUAUUUUAAUCACAAAGCCAUUAUUUUUGCCAUUAAGUGCUAAAAUCCUUUACAUGCUGUUUCACUAUCUCUCAUACUUCCACAUAUCAAAAAGAGCUCUUUAUGAUCCAAGACUUGGAGUUUAUAAAGAGAUUACAUGCAAGAUUGUAUUAUCAGGGAUAAUAUAAAAAAUAAACACUAUGGAAAAGGGGGUUUGAACAGAUCUGAUGACCAUGCUAAGAUCUAUUUUCAUAUGAACCUCACAAAUUUUCCACUGCCUACACCAGUACUAACACAUUCUCUGGGAAAACACACUUAUGGUGGUACUUGUAUUAUUGUUGCGUAUUAUCGAACCACCGCAAGUCUUUGUUAUUUUGUUGACAAGGCCAUUUUUAUUUAAGUUUUUUGAUAAAUGUUGUACCUAUGUGAAAAAAGGCAGAGUAGCCAGGUUCUCUUUAUUGUCAUAACUAGUUAUUGGUGUAUAAAUGUAAGCAAAUUUAUUGCAUCUUCAGAGUUCGUGAGUGUAGCCUAAUGAAAUUGCACUUUUGCCUAUCUGUAGUUUAUUUUACUGAUCAUUAAAAGCCAAUGUAAUAUUACAUUUUUCUAAUGGUGAAAUUGAAAGUAGACUGCUAGAAGAUUGGUUUAAAAACUGUUUAUAGCUUUAAAAAAUGGGAAUACAAGAUAAUUUAGGAACUAUGGAACUACACAAGCGAUCUCUGAUACUAAGUGUAUAGUGAAAAUUCAGUGCUGUAGAUACUGUUGCCAGGCUAGGUGAGGAUGUUUGAAAGCGUUAAUGGGUCAGCUUUCAAGGAAUAUCUGGCAAAUGCAAAUAGUUUCUAAAAUUUUACUUGGGGACCUUAAUACUUGCAUGUGUAAAUAAUAUAUAUAUAUAUAUAUAUAUAGGUAUAUAUCAAGAACACUUAAUUGUGCUUCGUUGACAUGAAGUUUCAGCAUUCUUUAAUGUCAAUGACGGUAUAGUUCAUGAAGGGUCAACAUUUGUAUGUAUAUAGAGGCAUUCCUUGAUGACUGAGUAUUCCCAUGAUUGUUGCUGUUAAGUACUAUACAUUCCACAGUUGGUUUUUUCCUAAUGUUUGUAGUUAACUAUUUAUUUGUAUGUAGUUAUUAUAAUAUUUAUUCGGUAGGAAAAGUAACGUUACGUUAAUUUUGGUUUUGUUCCUUUUAGAGGCCUGUGGUGUGAAGUUAGGUGGAUAAAUAAAAAUGUGGCCACACCCUUGUUAUAUGUAGUUCUGUCACAGUAUACUCUUAAUACUUUCAUUCAUCCUCUUCCGAGUUAUUUCUUAGUGAAAGUGUUCUUUAAUUAGGAAUCAAAUUGGAUUUGAUUAGAUUGUACAGAUCUUAAUGGAAAUACAUAUUACACUGAUUUGUGAAGGUGUAGAUUCUCUUAAGUUACUGCUCAGUACUGUACAUCAUUACAGCUCUGGACUUGUGCUGCGAAUCAACGAAUCUAAUUUUUUUAUGCUCACAAGACCUGUGCUGUAUGGAAAAAAGUACCAGGUACCUUGACUGAUACUUCUACUUAUCCUAGGCCCUUUAUUGUGUUAGUUUUCGGAUAUUGUGUAUGUGAACUUUGAUUUGAGUUCAUGUGUGUACCUUCAUCCAUAAUGGAAUGUAUUGUAAUGCACACAAUAAACCAAAAGUGCU
Procambarus clarkii (red swamp crayfish) is the source of this 6024-nucleotide non-coding RNA. The record is from RefSeq and is a predicted model, not a curated record. NCBI's taxonomy places the organism in Eukaryota, Metazoa, Arthropoda, Malacostraca, Decapoda, Cambaridae.